Molecule: long non-coding RNA, 586 nt
Organism: Mastomys coucha (southern multimammate mouse)
Lineage: Eukaryota; Metazoa; Chordata; Mammalia; Rodentia; Muridae
Exons: 2
Source: RefSeq, a predicted model, not a curated record
CUGAACACAGGAAGCACCACACAAACCCUGACCCUGAAAGGUUGGGAGGAAACCAAGAGCCUGAAGGGACAGGCCAGCUUCCUCUCUGGAGUGUGCUAAUAAUGUGAGCGCCACAGUAAUUAAUUCUCUUACAGCCAAGAUUUUCGAAAUUAAACAAAAGAAAAGAAAAGCCAAAGCACUAAAGCAUGUUUUGUACACAGUUUGAAAUACAUCAAUACAAAUUAUCAUCUUCGCUUUACCAGACGGAAGAAUAAGAAUGGUUUUUACUUAAAAUUCUGAGCACUCCACUCUAGGACACAGGAGAAUACAUUUCACUCAGAGCUCUGGCUCUCCCAUCCCUUGGGGAACCAUCAUGGUGGACCGUCCUCCAUUCCCUUUUGGAGGACAUGUAUGCAUCAUCUCCAUCAAAUGAUGACAAUGCCUGGGAACAAGAGGACAGGGACAGAUUUUCCUCCUCCAAAUCCUCAUCGAAUCUCAUCUUAAUGAGAUGUGGGGCAAACGGCCUACAUUGGUUGUUUUAUAAUACAUAACAUUUCCCUGGGGGUCUGCAACUUCAGGGUUCUGAAUAAAAAGUUUUCUAUCCCCA